UCAAGAUUUCCUUAAGAUCUCAAAAUCUUCCAAAGAUUAGCAAGAUCAAUUCAUAUCUCACCAAAUAUUUUCUCUCUCCCUCACUCACCAUUUUCGGCCCUCUCUCCCUCUCCUUCAUCUCUCAUUUCCUCCAUUUUCCUCCAUUGAAGAAAACCUUCGGAGCUCCCAAAAAUAUUACCAAACACCUCAAUCCACUCUAAAAUAUUCCAUAAACACAUUCUAGCCACUUAUAAUCAAGAGAAUCCUUGAAGAAGAGCCUCAAAGUUAGAGUGAGAAAGUGUGAACUUUGGUAAGAAACUUGGGCCCGAGCGAGACGAAGAAGUAAGUUGCCUGAUUUCUUUCCAGGAUUAGCGAAGGACUUCAGACGGACCCGGCCAUUGCAGCGUUAUAUUACUGCCGAUGGAGUCGAGACAUGGGUACCUAUUCCCGAGGUGCCUGUUUAUGGUCUGAUGGUGGACACCGAUGUCGAGGAUGAGCCGAGCGACGAUAGCGUCUACCGAUUGAUCGACGAGUACGAAAGUCAGGAGUCAGAGCCGAGCAAGAAGACGGAGCCGAGUGAAGAUAUGGAGGUUGACGAGGCGACGAGUAGGAUUUUAGGAGACGAUGGCUAGUUAGCACGUGUAUCUAGUAGACACGUACAUAUGUAUAGAUGCAUAGUUGAUAUAUACGUAUAUGUAUAUAUAUAGGUAGAGAGGCAUAGUAUAGUGCGUAGUAGUAGAUAGUGUAUAUCUAUAGACGCUUAGUACCUAUGAUACUUGUAUAGCUAGAGCAUCAUUUUAGUGUUAGGACCUUUGUACAGAGGAUCCUACUUUUGUAAAAGACCUCGAGA
Salvia miltiorrhiza (redroot sage) is the source of this 829-nucleotide RNA transcript. RefSeq lists it as uncharacterized. NCBI's taxonomy places the organism in Eukaryota, Viridiplantae, Streptophyta, Magnoliopsida, Lamiales, Lamiaceae. The transcript is spliced from 3 exons. The record is from RefSeq and is a predicted model, not a curated record.